UUNAACUCCAAGCNAAUGUGACGUUACCAAACUGUUGCCUCGGCGGGAACUCAUGCCCCNNNNNCNUCGCAGCCCCGGACCAAGGCGCCCGCCGGAGGACCANNCAAAACUCUUUUUGUAUACCCCCUCGCGGGUUUUUUAUAAUCUGAGCCUUCUCGGCGCCUCUCGUAGGCGUUUCGAAAAUGAAUCAAAACUUUCAACAACGGAUCUCUUGGUUCUGGCAUCGAUGAAGAACGCAGCGAAAUGCGAUAAGUAAUGUGAAUUGCAGAAUUCAGUGAAUCAUCGAAUCUUUGAACGCACAUUGCGCCCGCCAGUAUUCUGGCGGGCAUGCCUGUCCGAGCGUCAUUUCAACCCUCGAACCCCUCCGGGGGGUCGGCGUUGGGGAUCGGCCUUCCUUCACGGGGGCCGUCUCCGAAAUACAGUGGCGGUCUCGCCGCAGCCUCUCCUGCGCAGUAGUUUGCACACUCGCAUCGGGAGCGCGGCGCGUCCAC
This 491-nucleotide ribosomal RNA is filed under the name Trichoderma sp. AH-Group-4. RNAcentral describes it as "eukaryotic LSU rRNA". The stretch from base 192 to 345 matches the Rfam family "5.8S ribosomal RNA". The record is from RNAcentral. Lineage: Eukaryota; Fungi; Ascomycota; Sordariomycetes; Hypocreales; Hypocreaceae.